Molecule: signal recognition particle RNA, 305 nt
Filed under: Cebus imitator (Panamanian white-faced capuchin)
Lineage: Eukaryota; Metazoa; Chordata; Mammalia; Primates; Cebidae
Description: Metazoan signal recognition particle RNA (ENSCCAG00000001810.1)
Rfam family: Metazoan signal recognition particle RNA
About the family: The signal recognition particle (SRP) is a universally conserved ribonucleoprotein.
Source: RNAcentral
CGUGGGCGCGGUGGCACAUGCCUGUAGUCCCCGUUACUCGGGAGGCUGAGGUGGGACGAUCGCUUGAGCCCAGGAAUUCUGGGCUGUAGUGUGCUAUGCCGAUAAGGUGUCCACACUAAGUUCGGCAUCAAUACGGUGACCUCCCAGGAGCGGGUGACCACCAGGUUGCCUAAGGAGGGGUGAACCAGCCCAGGUUGGAAAUGGAGCAGGUCAAAACUAAAACUCCCAUGCUGAUCAGUAGUGGGAUCGCGCCUGUGAAUAGCCACUGCACUCCAGCCUGGGCAACAUAGUGAGAACCCGUCUCU